GAGUUUGAUCUUGGCUCAGAUUGAACGCUGGCGGCAUGCCUUACACAUGCAAGUCGAACGGCAGCACGGGAGCUUGCUCCUGGUGGCGAGUGGCGAACGGGUGAGUAAUGCAUCGGAACGUAUCCUGGAGUGGGGGAUAACGUAGCGAAAGUUACGCUAAUACCGCAUAUUCUGUGAGCAGGAAAGCGGGGGACCUUCGGGCCUCGCGCUCUUGGAGCGGCCGAUGUCGGAUUAGCUAGUUGGUGAGGUAAAGGCUCACCAAGGCGACGAUCCGUAGCAGGUCUGAGAGGAUGAUCUGCCACACUGGAACUGAGACACGGU
This 321-nucleotide ribosomal RNA is filed under the name bacterium enrichment culture clone ALO1_GLFRUDD03GKPAB. RNAcentral describes it as "bacterial SSU rRNA". It matches the Rfam family "Bacterial small subunit ribosomal RNA", at positions 9 to 330 of the family's 1533-position model. The record is from RNAcentral. RNAcentral also lists the same sequence under 1 other name.